Molecule: ribosomal RNA, 274 nt
Filed under: uncultured bacterium
Lineage: Bacteria
Description: partial 16S ribosomal RNA
Rfam family: Bacterial small subunit ribosomal RNA
Source: RNAcentral
AUACGGAGGGCGCAAGCGUUGUUCGGAAUUAUUGGGCGUAAAGCGCGCGUAGGCGGAUUGUUAAGUCGGGGGUGAAAUCCCGGGGCUCAACCCCGGAACUGCCUCCGAUACUGGCAGUCUAGAGGUCGAGAGAGGUGAGUGGAAUUCCGAGUGUAGAGGUGAAAUUCGUAGAUAUUCGGAGGAACACCAGUGGCGAAGGCGGCUCACUGGCUCGAUUCUGACGCUGAGGUGCGAAAGCGUGGGGAGCAAACAGGAUUAGAAACCCCAGUAGUCC